CGAGCGACUGAUUGAGCGAACGACGACUCCUCGUUCGGCAGAGAAACGACCUGAAUUUUUGUCACGAGCAUCGCCAAAACUUUUCUCCCUUUCUUGUGCUCAUUUAUUUUCGGUCGCAACUUAUAUUUUGGUGGAAACAGGCGCACUGUAGAUGAAAUUUAUUAUGAACCUUUUUGAUUUUGUUGAUUUUCUUUGAAAUAAAUUACACAUCUCGGUGCAACAAGUUUUGGAUUU
This is a long non-coding RNA of Amphibalanus amphitrite, 234 nucleotides long. RefSeq lists it as uncharacterized. The record is from RefSeq and is a predicted model, not a curated record. The transcript has 2 exons. NCBI's taxonomy places the organism in Eukaryota, Metazoa, Arthropoda, Thecostraca, Balanomorpha, Balanidae.